This 1359-nucleotide unclassified non-coding RNA is filed under the name Octopus sinensis (East Asian common octopus). Its description in RNAcentral is "calcium-binding protein P-like, transcript variant X3". The record is from RNAcentral. Lineage: Eukaryota; Metazoa; Mollusca; Cephalopoda; Octopoda; Octopodidae.
CAGAGACCAUAGUUCAAUAAUUUCCUAUAGGCCUAAACUGAAUGUAAUUUCCAAAAGUAGUUACUUACAUUCAAGCACCUUAUUUACACCUUAAAAAUACAUAGCAAAGCGAUAAGGAUUUUAAGCAUUGUAAAUACAGCUUUGUUUACGUGUAAGCUGUUCAUGAACAGCUGCAAUUGUAUUUCAUAAAGUAAACUGCUACACUCCAUUAAACCACCUGCCCACCUUAGUGACGUAACCUAUCACGUUGCUCGUAUAGUUACUAUUAAUUCUGCCCUCAAUUACCACAAAGUACAAUAAUAAUACCACUGCAAGUUAGGCGAGAAGGAUCGCGAACAUUUUCAGAUUUUACUAUUUAAGUCUUCUAUCGCUAGCUGCGCGAAGCAGCGGAGGUUCACACGUAUGGAAGCUAAAAACACAAAAACUAAGAUACCGAACGAUGAUCCACCAGGAUACAAUGAAAACCAUGAAAACAGAGAUGGUCUUCAGAAUAUUAUGGCACCUGUAAUUCCCGCAGAAACUGAAUAUCCACCAGGUUAUCCAUCACCACCAUCAGAUUAUCCAUCACCACCACCAGAUUAUCCAUCACCAUCGGGAUGUCCCCCACCUGGAUAUCCACCGCAACCUGAAUAUCCACCACAACCUGGAUACCCACCACAACCUGGAUAUCCACCACAACCUGGAUAUCCACCACAACCUGGAUAUCCACUGCAACUCGGAUAUCCACCACAAUCCGGACACAUGUCACAACAACAACAACAACAGCUUGUUAUCACACGAACCUACCAACCACAAUACGUUGAAAAUAAGGUGACUUCAGCAUUUCUUGUCACCCUUUUCUGCUUUUUCCCAACAGGCAUUCCUGCUAUUGUUUUUGCACAAAAAGCACAAACAAUGGCCCUAUCCGGUAAUAUAGAAGGUGCACAGGAAGCAAACGCUGGUGCAGGAAGGCUAAUCAAAAUAUCAAUGAUUGUUGGUUUUUUCAUUAUUAUGAUUUUAAUUAUUCUACGCUUUGCUGUGAUUAGAGGAUUGUGAGGAUAAGGAAAAUUGACAUUAAACGAAGAGGGACUUCUUUUUUUUAUUAUUUAUAUUUAAUUCUAAUCAGAUAAAAUAUUCUUAGCAAAAAUGAACAAUGAUAUAUUCUGAUCGGUGAAUUCUACAGCUCCAACUUGAUAGCAAGACCCUAUAAUAGAAUAACACUAUGAGAGUAUAAUGAUGUUCCUGAAGCCCUUGUACCGUUCCUUCCGGUCAAGAAAGGUGAUGUUGCAUCUUGCUUUUACUUAAAUGUUCAUUAUCAUAAUCUCAGCAACUACCAAAGUUUAAAGCUAUUUUAGAAGCAUAAAUGUUAAACGAACAAAA